Molecule: ribosomal RNA, 468 nt
Filed under: uncultured bacterium
Lineage: Bacteria
Description: partial 16S ribosomal RNA
Rfam family: Bacterial small subunit ribosomal RNA
Source: RNAcentral
GACGAACGCUGGCGGCGUGCUUAACACAUGCAAGUCGAACGGAAAGGCCCUGCUCUUGUGGGGUGCUCGAGUGGCGAACGGGUGAGUAACACGUGAGUAACCUGCCCUUGACUUUGGGAUAACUUCAGGAAACUGGGGCUAAUACCGGAUAGGAGCUCCUGCUGCAUGGUGGGGGUUGGAAAGUUUCGGCGGUUGGGGAUGGACUCGCGGCUUAUCAGCUUGUUGGUGGGGUAGUGGCUUACCAAGGCUUUGACGGGUAGCCGGCCUGAGAGGGUGACCGGCCACAUUGGGACUGAGAUACGGCCCAGACUCCUACGGGAGGCAGCAGUGGGGAAUAUUGCACAAUGGGCGGAAGCCUGAUGCAGCAGCGCCGCGUGCGGGAUGACGGCCUUCGGGUUGUAAACCGCUUUCGCCUGUGACGAAGCGUGAGUGACGGUAAUGGGUAAAGAAGCACCGGCUAACUACGUG